CAUCCAUAGGUGUUUUCAAUACCUGAUUGAAAACACUUCAAUGAACCUCUGUUCUUCAGAGUGGUAGUUCUUUAAGGGGUUGAAUAAUUGUGUCAAUGAAGAAUUCACAAAAGAAACAUUUACUACUAUAUUACAAAACCAAUUGAUGUCAUUUUAGUUGCAUAUGGUUCUUUAAGAAGUCAUUGUAGGAUUUCAUUCUGAAUACAAUUACAAAUGUACACUAAAUUCCCUAAAACCCUUAACAGCAUUGGGGGUUGAAUAAUUUUGAACACAACUGUACAUAAAAAAGUAGGCAAACUGUAAUUUACACAAGGUGCAUAAAAUAUACAGUGCUAUAAUGGAUAUUUCACUUCAGUGAUUACUGUGUAGUUAACGCUUUUAAUGAAAAGGGUUUAACAUGUUUAUUUUGCCUUUUGGUUUGCAUACAUAUUGUUAUAUUUAAAAAUUUGUGAUGUUCAAAAUAGUAGGUUGACUUAUACAUAUCAAUAAGAUGUAAUAUAUAAUCAAAGUGUACUUUUUAUUUUAGUGGCAUUUUUAUGUUUUACCCAGUAGAUGGUGCGUGUUUUGUUUUUACACUUACACGUAUUUCCGUUUUUGACCGGAAGAGACGGAAUCCAUUUCAAUUUCAUCUUCGGCCGGUAAGCACAUGGACAUUAUUGCUUUUAUGAAUUGAUAUGGCUUGGUUACCAUUUUCACCAUAAAGCGAAAUAAAUUUUUAUUUGGUUACAGUGUGUGUUGUAAUAAAGUUAGUAUUUCAUAUUUUGUUAGGUGUUGAGAAGAAAUUAAAUGUGUGUCACAUGUGCACACAUGUAAAGUUGCGUAAAUGGAUGUUCAGACGCGUUGGCGUCUAAAGAACUUUAGAUUGUAUAAGUAUUAGCUUGUUUUUAAGGUACUGUUAUGUAGAUUUAGACACAGACGACAGCCUAUUUGUUUAAUUCAUCUUUUAAAUAUACGUUGUUUCUUGUUAGGGUCCAUCUGUAAACUCCGUUAGACUAGAUAAAGUACGAGCAAGUGUUUCCUCUUCAUUUUUUUAUUGUCAGUAAAAUGUAAGCAUAAAUUGUGCAUUUCCAAAUUUAAAACAUACAAAGACACGGGCUGAGUAUUUGCAAAGUUUGUUGGAAUGUAAUUUUUAAAAAUAAAGUUAUAUUUAAUUGUUUAAUUGUUUACACCCUCUGCUCCGUGUUGGAAUGUAAUUUUCCAUAGUGCCUAAAUUCGUCUUCAGCGUGGCGCACGAAUUGUGUUGCUUAACGCUUAUCUGCUUGCUUUGUUUUACUGCAGCGUUUUGAAGGUAAACGGCUCAUUAUGUUUUUUAAUUCCUGUAAUUAUAAAGCUGAUUGUUUUAGAAGCAAAUAUAUUAAGACGUUUUGGCGGCGGAGGAUCACACGCGUGCACAAGUAACUUUACGUGCGAUUUGUAUUAGAUGCGUUUUAAACACGUGUGGUGAUAAGGGAGCUUAUAACAGUGUUUGCUUGUUUAUCAAACUUUGUUUUCUUGUAUUGCAGAAGACAGUGAAAGCGGAUUUUGAGAAAUCAUUGAAAGUGGAUUUGAGAAUGCCCCGUACCAAGAAGAGUGUGCGGUCGCAGGUAGCCAAAAAGAGGAUGGCGGAGCAGAUGGCUGCUGUUGCUGCGGAGGUUGUGCCACCUCUUAAAAAAAUGGCACAACUAACAGAACGUUGUUUAUAUUACUGAUCAUAUACUGUAUACUAGACCUAAGGCCUAUUGUUUCUACACAAGGCUAUAAUGACACCCAGUUAAACUUCUAAGGCCCAUUGCUUUUACACAAGGAUAUAAGACACCCAGUUAAACUUUCGUUUCCUCAGUUAACUUUCGUUUUCUCAGUUUCCUAAUUAAAAGAGACCAGGUGCUAUCCUGCAACUAUACCCCGAUUGUUCUCGCCACGAUUAGUUUGAGAACCAAGGUCGACAUAAGCGAUAAAGAAGAGGACGCCAUUUCAGAUUAGUUAUCUUUCAUUUUCUCAGUUUCCUAAUUAAAAGAGACCAGGUGCUAUCCUGCAACUAUACCCUGAUUGUUCUCGCCACGAUUAGUUUGAGAAACAUGGUCAAACAACCGAAAAACAAGAGUACGUCAUUUUAGAUUAGAGAAUUUGUCCGGCUGUACUUUGCUACAUUAACAAAAAGUUGGUUAUGUCAGGGAAAGCCAAGGCCAAUCGAAAUAAUAAACCGAGAACGUCACUUUAAGAUUUAAGAAGUCCAGCUGUCAUUUUAGAUAUGAAGAAGGAUUCAGCUGCACAUAAAACAAACAGAUUGAUUGUGGCAAACCAAGACCAAUUAGAAGAGUAUACGUCAUCUUAGAUAAAAAGUGUUUGAUCUUACUGUAUAAAAUAUGGAGUCAGAGAGGUAAAAAUCAGAAGGCUGGGGAUGGUUUCUGAAUGCAUGCUAAUGUAAUUCUUUGAUCAUCUGAACUUUGUUGGCUCGAGCGAAUAAAGUAAUUUUUGUUUGGCACCUGGAA
Molecule: non-coding RNA, 2468 nt
Organism: Misgurnus anguillicaudatus (oriental weatherfish)
Lineage: Eukaryota; Metazoa; Chordata; Actinopteri; Cypriniformes; Cobitidae
Source: RefSeq, a predicted model, not a curated record